RNAcentral lists this long non-coding RNA (920 nucleotides) under Homo sapiens (human). RNAcentral describes it as "novel transcript". The record is from RNAcentral. Lineage: Eukaryota; Metazoa; Chordata; Mammalia; Primates; Hominidae.
CCUCUGCCCAGACGCCCCAUCUUGGAUGUGAGGAGCACCUCUGCCCAGCCACCACCCCGUCUGGGAGGUGAGGAGCACCUCUGCCUGGCCGCCCCGUCUUGGAAGAGAGGAGCAUCUCUGCCUGGCCACCCCAUCUGGGAGGUGGUUGUGAGACAACUUCAACAAGAAGUGGCUGAUUCCCUUAAAAAAUUAACUAUGUUAGAGUCUCCACUGGAAGGUACAUGAUGUCACAUUAAUUUGGAAGAGACACGGGCCUCAAAGAGGAAAUUAUUUCAAGUGGAAAGUCAAAUAUAAGAAACUCCUGGAAAUGACAAUAAAUGUGUUAAGUGUAUUUGGAAAUGAAGACUUCGAUUGCCAUGGAGACUUAAAAACAGAUCAACUGAAAAUGAAUAUUCUGAUUAAGAAACUAAAACAUAAGUUUGAUGAUCUUACAGCAGAGAAGGAAGCUGUAUCUUCAAAAUGUGUCGAUUUGGCUAAAGACAAUCAAGUUCUUCAACAGGAGUUAUUAUCUAUGAAAAAAGUACAACAGCAAUGUGAAAAACUUGAGAAGGAUAAAAAGAUGUUGGAAGAAGAAAUAUUAAAUCUUAAGACACAUAUGGAAGACAAUAUGGUAGAACUUAGUAAACUACAAGAAUAUAAAUCGGAGCUAGAUGAAAGGGCAAUGACGGCAGUAGAAAAAUUAGAAGAAAUCCAUUUACAGAUGGAGCUGGACUGUGUGGAACAAAUAAUUAGAGAAACAAAGAGAACUGUUGCUGUGUUGGACACUUGCUCCCAUCUAUUUUCUUCUCUAGAAUCCACUGCGCUGGAAUGAGUAAUUUUUUUUAGAAGCAGAGGUGGAGCCACUGAGGAAGCACAGGCGAGCCCUCCCCAGCGUGUACUCACUGGUCCCCAACAGAAGAACAGCUGCUGCAUCCACUGAG